RNAcentral lists this long non-coding RNA (505 nucleotides) under Fukomys damarensis (Damara mole-rat). Its description in RNAcentral is "lncRNA (ENSFDAG00000027982.1)". The record is from RNAcentral. Lineage: Eukaryota; Metazoa; Chordata; Mammalia; Rodentia; Bathyergidae.
GUUAGCUCUAGAGAGGGUGUUGUCAGAAAGUAGAGCCAGUCCUCCGACUGGACGUCUCAGGAAAUCCGUGUGCAGAGGAGACUACAAGGAGAUGGAGCUGUGACGGACAGGGCAGCAGCCGCUGACUUUCCCGAGAGAGGUGUGCUCGGGAUUUCUGCUGUGGGUGAUUCGACAACCUUGAUUCUGACUGUGUACGGGGAGUGUGGCCACUUCUGAUUUCCAUUAUAAAGCAUCCACAGCAGUGAUUUUCACGGCUCCAUUCCGAUUCAGGGCUGCAACACCAUGUGAAGUACAGAUUGCUGAGGUGUCUUCAGUCAGGUGAGCAAACGCUGAAACAGAAGACAUAGAACCGGUUGUGCUCUGGGCUGGGCAGCCUGUUUCUAAAUUAAUUGUAUGUUUUGAAAAAAAAUAUUCCACAGAGAUUAAAAAAGAAGGAGUUGAAAGGUAGCCCGAGGGAGCAUGGUGACUCAGACUGCAGACAAAUAAAUUACACCUUUGAUACAGA